AUUGAACGCUGGCGGCAUGCCUUACACAUGCAGGUCGAACGGUAACAGGUUAAGCUGACGAGUGGCGAACGGGUGAGUAAUGUAUCGGAACGUGCCCAGUCGUGGGGGAUAACUGCUCGAAAGAGCAGCUAAUACCGCAUACGACCUGAGGGUGAAAGCGGGGGAUCGCAAGACCUCGCGCGAUUGGAGCGGCCGAUAUCAGAUUAGGUAGUUGGUGAGGUAAAGGCUCACCAAGCCGACGAUCUGUAGCUGGUCUGAGAGGACGACCAGCCACACUGGGACUGAGACACGGCCCAGACUGCUACGGGAGGCAGCAGUGGGGAAUUGUGGACAAUGGGCGCAAGCCUGAUCCAGCCAUGCCGCGUGCGGGAAGAAGGCCUGCGGGUUGUAAACCGCUUUUGUCAGGGAAGAAAAGGUUCUGGCUAAUACCUGGGACUCAUGACGGUACCUGAAGAAUAAGCACCGGCUAACUAC
This 474-nucleotide ribosomal RNA is filed under the name uncultured bacterium. RNAcentral's name for it is "partial 16S ribosomal RNA". It matches the Rfam family "Bacterial small subunit ribosomal RNA", at positions 29 to 504 of the family's 1533-position model. The record is from RNAcentral.